Molecule: ribosomal RNA, 253 nt
Filed under: uncultured bacterium
Lineage: Bacteria
Description: partial 16S ribosomal RNA
Rfam family: Bacterial small subunit ribosomal RNA
Source: RNAcentral
UACAGAGGGGGCAAGCGUUAUUCGGAAUUAUUGGGCGUAAAGGGCGCGUAGGCGGCCUGGCAAGUGGAAGGUGAAAUCCCUCGGCUUAACCGAGGAACUGCCCUCCAAACUGCUUGGCUUGAGUCCGGGAGAGGUGAGUGGAAUUCCCAGUGUAGCGGUGAAGUGCGUAGAUAUUGGGAGGAACACCAGUGGCGAAGGCGGCUCACUGGACCGGAACUGACGCUGAGGCGCGAAAGCGUGGGGAGCAAACGGG